This 211-nucleotide ribosomal RNA is filed under the name uncultured bacterium. Its description in RNAcentral is "partial 16S ribosomal RNA". It matches the Rfam family "Bacterial small subunit ribosomal RNA", at positions 524 to 732 of the family's 1533-position model. The record is from RNAcentral.
UACGUAGGGUGCAAGCGUUGUCCGGAAUUAUUGGGCGUAAAGAGCUCGUAGGCGGUUCGUCGCGUCGGGGAGUGAAAACUCAGGGCUUAACCCUGAGCCUGCUUCCGAUACGGGCAGACUAGAGGUAUGCAGGGGAGAACGGAAUUCCUGGUGUAGCGGUGAAAUGCGCAGAAUAUCAGGAGGAACACCGGUGGCGAAGGCGGUUCUCUGG